Ribosomal RNA from Cercocebus atys (sooty mangabey), 119 nucleotides. NCBI's taxonomy places the organism in Eukaryota, Metazoa, Chordata, Mammalia, Primates, Cercopithecidae. The record is from Ensembl.
GUCUAUGGCCAUACCACCCUGAACGUGCUCGAUCUCAUCUGUUCUUGGAAGCUAAGCAGGGUCUGGGCUGGUUAGUACUUGCAUGGGAGACCAUCUGGGAAUACCAGGUGCUGUAGAUU